Molecule: non-coding RNA, 76 nt
Organism: Thermochaetoides thermophila DSM 1495
Lineage: Eukaryota; Fungi; Ascomycota; Sordariomycetes; Sordariales; Chaetomiaceae
Source: the annotation of a RefSeq genome assembly
GGUCGUGUGGCGCAAUGGUAGCGCGUUACUUUCCGGUUGCUGGUAAAGGUUCUGGGUUCGAGUCCCAGCAUGAUCG